Molecule: ribosomal RNA, 441 nt
Filed under: uncultured bacterium
Lineage: Bacteria
Description: partial 16S ribosomal RNA
Rfam family: Bacterial small subunit ribosomal RNA
Source: RNAcentral
CCUACGGGAGGCAGCAGUGGGGGAUAUUGCACAAUGGGGGGAACCCUGAUGCAGCGACGCCGCGUGGGUGAAGGAGUGCUUCGGCAUGUAAAGCACUAUCGGCAGGGAAGAAGCAAGACGGUACCUGACUAAGAAGCCCCGGCUAACUACGUGCCAGCAGCCGCGGUAAUACGUAGGGGGCGAGCGUUAUCCGGAUUCACUGGGUGUAAAGGGAGCGUAGACGGCCAUGCAAGCCAGGGGUGAAAGCCCGGGGCCCAACCCCGGGACUGCCCUUGGAACUGUGCGGCUAGAGUGCGGGAGGGGCAGGCGGAAUUCCUGGUGUAGCGGUGAAAUGCGUAGAUAUCAGGAGGAACACUGGCGGCGAAGGCGGCCUGCUGGACUGCGACUGACGUUGAGGCUCGAAAGCGUGGGGAGCGAACAGGAUUAGAUACCCCAGUAGUC